CCUUCAGCUCAGCAAAUGCUUCUGGGUCAUCAGCCAAGCCCAAUGGGUCAAAGCUCCCACCUGGGUAGAUUGGGUCUGUGACCUCACCGAGCGGUCCACCGGCAAUUCUAUAACCCUCAACAGCACCCAUCAACACAACCUGGACUGCCCAGAUGGCCAAGAUGCUUUGUGCAUGGAUCAAGCUUGGGUUGCCUAAGUAGUCAAGACCACCCUCGCUGAAGAUCUGGGCUCCUGCCUUGAACCACACUGCCUCGCCGAACUUGACUCCGUUGCGGGCCAAGAGCUCGGGGAAGACGCACCCAAGGGCUCCAAGCAUGGCCCAUCUGCAGUGGAUCACUUCGAGCUCACGGUUCUUGGCAAAGGUUUCUGGGUCAGCAGAGAGACCAGCAGUGUCCCAGCCAUAGUCACCAGGGAAUUCACCAGUCAGGUAGGAUGGGGGCUCACCGGACAAUGGACCCAAGUACAAAACACGGUCUGGGCCGUACCAUGGGCUUCCAGAGGAAACAGGCCUACCGGCACUUUUCCUCAUGGAUACACGGCCAUUGCCCAUGAGCUCAGGGGC
This 562-nucleotide unclassified non-coding RNA is filed under the name Hevea brasiliensis (rubber tree). Lineage: Eukaryota; Viridiplantae; Streptophyta; Magnoliopsida; Malpighiales; Euphorbiaceae. The record is from RNAcentral.